Molecule: ribosomal RNA, 266 nt
Filed under: uncultured Gammaproteobacteria bacterium
Lineage: Bacteria; Pseudomonadati; Pseudomonadota; Gammaproteobacteria
Description: partial 16S small subunit ribosomal RNA
Rfam family: Bacterial small subunit ribosomal RNA
Source: RNAcentral
UACCGUUAUUUGCCAGCGAUUCGGUCGGGAACUAUAAGGGACUGCCGGUGAUAAACCGGAGGAAGGUGAGGACGACGUCAUGUCAUCAUGGCCCUUACGAGUAGGGCUACACACGUGCUACAAUGGGAGAUACAGACGGACGCUAAGCCGCGAGGUGGUGCUAAUCCUAAAAAGUCUUUCGUAGUCCGGAUUGGAGUCUGCAACUCGACUCCAUGAAGACGGAAUCGCUAGUAAUCGCGAAUCAGCAUGUCGCGGUGAAUACGUUC